This 271-nucleotide ribosomal RNA is filed under the name uncultured bacterium. RNAcentral's name for it is "partial 16S ribosomal RNA". It matches the Rfam family "Bacterial small subunit ribosomal RNA", at positions 505 to 776 of the family's 1533-position model. The record is from RNAcentral.
GUGCCAGCGCCGCGGUAAUACGGAGGAUGCAAGCGUUAUCCGGAUUUAUUGGGUUUAAAGGGUGCGCAGGCGGACCGGUAAGUCAGGGGUGAAACUUUACAGCUUAACUGUAAACGUGCCUUUGAUACUGUCGGACUAGAGUUUAAGAGACGUAAUUGGAAUGUGAUGUGUAGCGGUGAAAUGCUUAGAUAUAUCACAGAACGCCGAUCGUGAAGACAGAUUACGAACUUAAUACUGACGCUCAUGCACGAAAGCGUGGGGAUCAAACAGG